RNAcentral lists this ribosomal RNA (429 nucleotides) under Pseudomonadota bacterium. Its description in RNAcentral is "Proteobacteria bacterium partial 16S ribosomal RNA". It matches the Rfam family "Bacterial small subunit ribosomal RNA", at positions 355 to 776 of the family's 1533-position model. The record is from RNAcentral. Lineage: Bacteria; Pseudomonadati; Pseudomonadota.
UGGGGAAUAUUGGACAAUGGGCGAAAGCCUGAUCCAGCCAUGCCGCGUGUGUGAAGAAGGUCUUCGGAUUGUAAAGCACUUUAUGUUGGGAGGAAGGGCAGUAAGCGAAUACCUUGCUGUUUUGACGUUACGGACAGAAUAAGCACCGGCUAACUCUGUGCCAGCAGCCGCGGUAAUACAGAGGGUGCAAGCGUUAAUCGGAAUUACUGGGCGUAAAGCGCGCGUAGGUGGUUCGUUAAGUUGAAUGUGAAAGCCCCGGGCUCAACCUGGGAACUGCAUCCAAAACUGGCGAGCUAGAGUAGGGCAGAGGGUGGUGGAAUUUCCUGUGUAACGGUGAAAUGCGUAGAUAUAGGAAAGAACACCAGUGGCGAAGGCGACCACCUGGGCUCAUACUGACACUGAGGUGCGAAAGCGUAGGGAGCAAACAGG